This 1162-nucleotide unclassified non-coding RNA is filed under the name Hevea brasiliensis (rubber tree). The record is from RNAcentral. Lineage: Eukaryota; Viridiplantae; Streptophyta; Magnoliopsida; Malpighiales; Euphorbiaceae.
UAAAUCAGAGGAGGGACCUAAUAGACAAGUACAGAAACUCUAUUGAGGAGCUUAUCAAGUCUGAGCCUUGAGCCCAUUACCGCUUGUCACCAUGCAUGGUAGAGAAAUUUUACAAUCUCAAUUCAAGUAUAGGCUUAGCGCCAGCGUGGGGGAUGCAAAUUACUUAACUGAAGGACAGAGUUGCCUGUUCCUUUUUCUGGAAGUGGAACUCAUAAUUGUGUCUUGUGAUUGAUUUUUGCAAGAUUGGAAAUUUACACAGAAUAUGGCUGUUAAAACCUUCUUAAUGAUAAGUUUUUUCAAUUCUUGUUAUGGUGUUACUGCAGGUAUGGCAUUCGUGUUAUUGGAGUUUUAUACGCAUGAUUUGCAACCUUGGACCCUGUUUUGUGUCAUUAAAGUCGAAUGGAGCCACAGAAAAAACAGUAACACCGGUUAGGGAACUGGCAACUAGUGUUGCCAUAGAUCGUCACCUGUAGGCCUUUAGUUUGCAUCAAGUUUUGUCAUGUUUGAAACGUUGUCUAUAAGCAACCAAACCUGAUGGGGUUAAUAUGAGGAUUUUUAACUCUUUAUUUUGUGGAAGAAAUCAAGUGCUUGUAUCUCUGGGAUAUCUUUCUUGAUCUAUCUGUAACUGAUCUUGAAACAGCCGACAUUUAUUUAGAAGGGAACUUUUCUUAAGAUGAUAAUUGUUAAGCUGCUUUGAUGAUCACUUUGGUUUUUGUUAAUUUCAGGUCUAAUUGCAGUUCAGCAUUCUAUGCAACAAUUCAAGCUGCACAGAAAAGCUGGAGGAUCUGUAGCUGCAGAAUCUGAUUCACAUUGUAUUUGGUGUGGAAGGAAAUUGUCAUCUUUCCUUAGCCCAAUGACCCUUAACAACAUUUCCAUGAACUUCAUUUCAUACUAUGCGGCACAUUUUUUAUUAUCAUGGGAGUUGGAGGCCAUGAAAUUGUAUAUCACAGUUCUUGAUUAUUUCAUUAGUGAUAUGCCAGUAUUUGCACUUCAAUCGAGUUUGUUUCCCCUCUAAAAGCCCACAGAAUUGUUGCACCAGCAUACAAGCACCAUUAUUAUUAAUAGUGAGAAACAUGUUUCUACUUCAGAAUUUAUGAAUUUUUGUAUAAGAUUUACAAUAAACUGUAGUUGUAAUUUCUUGUGUUGGUAUGAACUAUCUUUG